Molecule: non-coding RNA, 226 nt
Organism: Pelobates cultripes (western spadefoot toad)
Lineage: Eukaryota; Metazoa; Chordata; Amphibia; Anura; Pelobatidae
Source: the annotation of a GenBank genome assembly
CCCAGCUCGUCAUGCUAGAGCACGUUUUCAAUGUGCUCCCCAACGAGAAGGCGACGACACAUUCGUAUGUCAAUCCAUAUCAACUUUCGAUGCCAUUGACUGCGCCUACCAUGGUGACCACGGGUAACGGGGAAUUCCGUACAGGGACCCUGACAAAUGGCUACCACAUGCAAGGAAGGCAGCAGACGCGCAAAUGACCAACUCCCGACGCGGGAAGGUAGUGACG